GAUGAACGCUGGCGGCGUGCCUAAUACAUGCAAGUCCAGCGAACAGACGAGGAGCUUGCUCCUCUGACGUUAGCGGCGGACGGGUGAGUAACGCGUGGAUAACCUACCUAUAAGUCUGGGAUAACUUCGGGAAACCGGAGCUAAUACCGGAUAAUCUAUUGCACCGCAUGGUUCAAUAGUGAAAGACGGUUUUGCUGUCUCUUCUAGAUGGAUCCGCGCCGCAUUAGCUAGUUGGUAAGGUAACGGCUUACCAAGGCGACGAUGCGUAGCCGACCGGAGAGGCGGAUCGGCCACACUGGAACUGGACCACGGUCCAGAGUCCUGCGGGAGGCAGCAGUAGGGAAUCGUCGGCAAUGGGCGAGAGCCUGACGGAGCAACGCCGAGUGAGAGAUGAAGGUCUUCGGAGCGGAAAACUGUGUUACGAGGGAAGAACAAAUGUGGAAGUAACUAUGCACGUCGUGACGGUACCGAAUCAGAAAGCCACGGCUAACUACGUG
RNAcentral lists this ribosomal RNA (497 nucleotides) under uncultured bacterium. RNAcentral describes it as "partial 16S ribosomal RNA". It matches the Rfam family "Bacterial small subunit ribosomal RNA", at positions 28 to 507 of the family's 1533-position model. The record is from RNAcentral.